GAUGAACGCUGGCGGCGUGCCUAAUACAUGCAAGUCGAGCGAACGGACGAGAAGCUUGCUUCUCUGAUGUUAGCGGCGGACGGGUGAGUAACACGUGGAUAACCUACCUAUAAGACUGGGAUAACUUCGGGAAACCGGAGCUAAUACCGGAUGAUAUUUUGAACCGCAUGGUUCAAAAGUGAAAGACGGUCUUGCUGUCACUUAUAGAUGGAUCCGCGCUGCAUUAGCUAGUUGGUAAGGUAACGGCUUACCAAGGCAACGAUGCAUAGCCGACCUGAGAGGGUGAUCGGCCACACUGGAACUGAGACACGGUCCAGACUCCUACGGGAGGCAGCAGUAGGGAAUCUUCCGCAAUGGGCGAAAGCCUGACGGAGCAACGCCGCGUGAGUGAUGAAGGUCUUCGGAUCGUAAAACUCUGUUAUUAGGGAAGAACAUAUGUGUAAGUAACUGUGCACAUCUUGACGGUACCUAAUCAGAAAGCCACGGCUAACUACGUGCCAGCAGCCGCGGUAAUACGUAGGUGACAAGCGUUAUCCGGAAUUAUUGGGCGUAAAGCGCGCGUAGGCGGUUUUUUAAGUCUGAUGUGAAAGCCCACGGCUCAACCGUGGAGGGUCAUUGGAAACUGGAAAACUUGAGUGCAGAAGAGGAAAGUGGAAUUCCAUGUGUAGCGGUGAAAUGCGCAGAGAUAUGGAGGAACACCAGUGGCGAAGGCGACUUUCUGGUCUGUAACUGACGCUGAUGUGCGAAAGCGUGGGGAUCAAACAGGAUUAGAUACCCUGGUAGUCCACGCCGUAAACGAUGAGUGCUAAGUGUUAGGGGGUUUCCGCCCCUUAGUGCUGCAGCUAACGCAUUAAGCACUCCGCCUGGGGAGUACGACCGCAAGGUUGAAACUCAAAGGAAUUGACGGGGACCCGCACAAGCGGUGGAGCAUGUGGUUUAAUUCGAAGCAACGCGAAGAACCUUACCAAAUCUUGACAUCCUUUGACAACUCUAGAGAUAGAGCCUUCCCCUUCGGGGGGGACAAAGUGACAGGUGGUGCAUGGUUGUCGUCAGCUCGUGUCGUGAGAUGUUGGGUUAAGUCCCGCAACGAGCGCAACCCUUAAGCUUAGUUGCCAUCAUUAAGUUGGGCACUCUAAGUUGACUGCCGGUGACAAACCGGAGGAAGGUGGGGAUGACGUCAAAUCAUCAUGCCCCUUAUGAUUUGGGCUACACACGUGCUACAAUGGACAAUACAAAGGGCAGCGAAACCGCGAGGUCAAGCAAAUCCCAUAAAGUUGUUCUCAGUUCGGAUUGUAGUCUGCAACUCGACUACAUGAAGCUGGAAUCGCUAGUAAUCGUAGAUCAGCAUGCUACGGUGAAUACGUUCCCGGGUCU
RNAcentral lists this ribosomal RNA (1374 nucleotides) under uncultured bacterium. RNAcentral's name for it is "bacterial SSU rRNA". It matches the Rfam family "Bacterial small subunit ribosomal RNA", at positions 28 to 1381 of the family's 1533-position model. The record is from RNAcentral.